This 354-nucleotide unclassified non-coding RNA is filed under the name uncultured fungus. RNAcentral describes it as "partial contains small subunit ribosomal RNA, internal transcribed spacer 1, and 5.8S ribosomal RNA". The stretch from base 1 to 73 matches the Rfam family "Eukaryotic small subunit ribosomal RNA", at positions 1759 to 1831 of the family's 1831-position model. Lineage: Eukaryota; Fungi. The record is from RNAcentral.
GCAAACUUGGUCAUUUAGAGGAAGUAAAAGUCGUAACAAGGUUUCCGUAGGUGAACCUGCGGAAGGAUCAUUACCGAGUUAGGGUGUCUCUUCUCGAGCGCCCGACCUCCCAACCCUUUGUCUACCAAACCUCAUGUUGCUUCGGCAGGCCCGCCAAGGGGGGCCCGUCAGCCUCUCCGCUGGCGGAUUCUCCUCCCUGGCCGCCGGGGGUCCUAGGACCCCGGGCCCGCGCCUGUCGACGGCCUCACACAAAUUCUUUGUUUAACAAACGUGUCGUCUGAGUUUUUACAAACAAUAAAAACAAAAACUUUCAACAACGGAUCUCUUGGUUCUGGCAUCGAUGAAGAACGCAGC